UAAAAAAAAAAAAAAUCCUGCUUAACAUUAUGAAAAAAACAUCACAGAGCUGUACUAAAAUGAAGGCUGUGACUUGAGAUUAGAAUUUGCUAUUGCAUUCAUCUAGUAUUGAAAAUAUAAUGUGAUCUUUGGUUCAGUGAACGCUUCCAAAUCCACUUCACUUUCACCUUUAUUACACUUCUAAGUCAUAAUCUCUUACAUAAAAAGAAGCAAUUUUUUUUACUGUCAACUUUCAUAUGGGGAGUGAUUAAAAAAACCUGCACUGAGCACGUGUGAUUACUCAGUAUCAAGGUGAAUCUGGGUAGCUCUGGAAGACAACUGAAAUAUAAUGUUUUCAGUGUUUUUUAGAGUUUUAGCUGGUCAGGAACAUACAGGUAUGAUAACAUGCCCAAGUGAACUUUUUGAAAGAUAGAGAAAAAUGUUUCUUUUUGGUUAUAAAGAGGCCACACACGGACUUUUAGAUCAUCAUUUUUCUGGCCUAUUUGACCAACAUGGGUCUUUGUCUAUAUCAUUUCCAAUAUAAGCAAUUAUUUUAAUCAGUUAUUAAGACGUUGUGGUUUACAUCUCCUUACAUAUUAUUUACCAGCUAUUGUCAUGUUUUAUCGCCCUGUUCAUCCCCUGUAUGAGACUCACUGGUAAACUCUACCCAAGCUAUAUACGAAGUAUACAUCCAGUGCACGUCGCAUUGGUACCUGGUGAGAUAAAUGCCACUUAAAACAUCCAGAAGAUGCAUUACGUUAUCAGAAUAGUUACAGCAGGCUGAUAGAUAAUGAAGCUACCAAGCUAAGUUCAUAAUUGGUUGCUUCUGUACAUUGGUGCAAAUUCUUUAUUUUCUUCAUCAUUUCUUCCACAAUGCCAAAGCGAUUAUUCACAAGACAUUUUCAUUUCUGAGGUAUACCUGGAAUCUUUUGGGCUUUCCUCGCAUCGUUCCUGGCAGUACACUAUGGGAGGGGUUGUGUUUCCCAGACCCUGGCUCUAAGCUUGCCAUUAGGCAGCUGAAGCGACGAGUAAGCACAAUACAUGUUACUGAUUUCCUAUACUCAGUGCCACAGCGAUGAGAUCAAAGAGUUAGAGCCUGUAAUGCAAGCCCCGCUGCUGCUAAAUUUGGGAUAGGUGUCACAGGGCACUGCAGCCUGGAGUUAGUUACUUAGUCAGCUGUGAGCUGAGACUUAUAAAUGUGUGUUUUUUUUUUCUGCUUCAUAACUCAGAAGUUUUCUUUGAUGUUCAAUAUAAAAUGUUGCACUUUGAAUGAUAAUAAUAAUAAUAAAAAAUCCUCAACUAUUUAACACCCUUAACUUCUAACAACGAAAUAUUUUUUAAUCGUAAAGCUGAUUGUGGUCUUUGGCAUCUUACUUUGGGCAGUGGAAACAGCCUCCCUCUCCCUCCCUCAUGGUCUCUUUCCCUAUGUUACUUUACAUUUCAACUCCUUUUCCUGUUCUUUCUCAGUUUUGUCAUUCUCAGCCCUUUAGCACAAGGCACAGGUGCCCCAGGAACAGGCAUCAGCCUCCUGCAUCUACUUUUAAAUUGCGGCCCAGGUGGGUGUGAAGCUGCUGGGGGAGGAGGGAAAUACUUUGUGAGGGUCAGGGCUGGGGAAAUAACACAAGCCUCUUGGUUUUGUUUAGAAUCCAGACAAAAAUUACUGAAGAAAUUUGGGUGGAGCAAUGCUUUGGUCCUCUGGAAAUGCAAUUUCCCUCUGGAUGAAGAGAGGCAGACUUUGGCUUCCAGGACAGUUAUUUGGGAGGUCUGGUAAAGCCUGCUGCUGAUGUGCCUGGUUCAUGCUGAGCAGGAACAGCUUUGGAAUGAAUCAGAGGGACUAAGGAAUCUUCCCUGAAACAAGUGCUGAAGCAGCUGCUACUUGCUGUGUGGUAAAUGUGGAAUUCCAGCCACUUCUGGGGGAUAGGAGAAGGCUAAAAUGGUCACUUCAAGUGAGAAAGCAUGAAGCCUCUGAAAAAAAUCCUUUGCUCCUUAACGUGUAUCUUGAAGUGGCCAAGUCAUUCUGGCUACAGCAUUGAAAUGACAGGGGAUGCCUGAGCUGGUCACUCAUUUUUUUUUUUUUCUUUUUUGUGCUUUUAUCAAAUGGCCAGCCACAUAUAUCUGUUCUCCUUUACUAGGGUACAAGAGGACAUGUUAGAAGGCUGCCAAUGCACUGUGAAAACUGUUAAAGAUAAUCCCUAAACUUCCUAACCUGAAAGAUCCAUGCCCUACAAAUUGCAAUAAACCUUGUGUAUGAUGGAGUGAAAAAUGCACUUUUGUUCUACUGGCCACAGCAUUUAACACAAAUUCUUACUUAUAGGAGCAAACUGUAGAUUGAAAGCACAGCUAGCAAUGCUCAUUCUGUCAGCACAUCUUGGUUCUGAGAAUGCAGCGAGUUAGGAAUUUAGUGAUUAAAGUCUGUACUUUGGUUUUGUUUUAUUCAAACUAUCAUAUGGAACAUAUAUAACAAUAGCAAAAUUUUGGAGCCUGUUAUUUUAAAUUUUUAGGUAUAUGCUCACAGAUAUCCUGCUGCUGCCUGUUAUACCAGUAGGAAAGGAGGAAAAUUGUUAUAUAUGUCUGCAUAUUGUUUGAUAACAGGAAAAUAUAUUGUGUCGUCAAGAAUUUUGAAGAGGCAAGGAUACAAGAGCUGUUUUUGUUGCUAGAAAUGACGUCCAGAACUGCGGAUACAGGGCUGAAAUUCCCCAUUUACAAACCUUCCUGAGUGUCUGUACCAACAGACUUUGUCCAGCUUAUCUCUGCUUUCCAGAAAUCUUAAUUUCUGUGAAACAUUAUAAACUAAUGUUUCAAGAAAAAAAAUCAAGGAAAACUUUACUCUUUGCCUCAGCCCCAGAAGGGUUGCAAGCGACACAAUGGAAAUAUUUUGCUGUGAGAGAACGUAUAGGAAUGUGGAUUUGAAAAAAUAAAACAAACAAAACCUUACACAAUAGUUUCUGUUAGAAAGUUUCUGCUUUAGGGAUUUUAUGCAGAGCCUUCACGACUAAGCAGCAGCAUGCUGCCAUCUACUGGCAAAAUGCACAACAGGCACUCACCAGCAAGUACUAUCGCAUUUAUUAAAUAACUUUUUAUUUAAAUUGGCACGCGGUAUAAAACCACACAGUUUAAAAAAAAAAAAAAAAUCGAGCAAAAAGCAUAUUUGAUCAGAAUAAAAAAUUACAAUGAAACGGAGUGAAGCAAGUGUUAUAAAUCACAGCAUUACAGAAGUCAUCAAUAUGCAGUAUGUAAAAAUUGUAUUUCGCAUUAGGGAGGAAAUGUAGGAGGAAAUAAACCAUUUAUUUAUGAUUUUUUCAUCCCUUUGCCAAUGUUCUGAAAAGAGGAGAAAUAUGCAGCGUUUCCCUCCAGGAAGGUACUUGAGAUGGAAACGGUCCUACACCUACAAACCCGAAAGGUAACGAUUGUGUGAACACAUGCACUGAGUGCUACUCAGUGUGGAGGAGAUUCAGUGGCAAAAAGACACUUGUAAUCCCCUCUGAAGCUGUCUGACUUCACACACCUGAAUGAGUAACAGGUCUUGGUGCUUUUAACUCUCUCGUGCAGUCUCUUAGGAGUAGGUCUGUAAGGAAUGGGGUCCUGUGUGCACACAGCCAGUGCAUCAGCUGGGGGAAAAAUGUAUAAGCAAAAAUCAUUCUUCAGUGCUCCUAAUGAAUCAUUCCGGUCCUGUUUUUUCAAUGCAUGAUCUGCUUUGGUUUCCCAGAUUGUUAUACAACAAUGGAAGAAGGGGAAAGAAAAGAAAAAUAAAUGUUUUCACUGAAUUUUGCUGAAAGUUCCCAGCUAAAGAUCACUAAAUAUUCUGUAUAUGAAUGAAGAAAUUCAUUAAUUAUUCCUUCAUUCACACAAGAUAGGAAGCUAUAUAAAAAUCCCAACUACUUGAUAUGUCUGUAAAUUGACCAGAAAAUAAAAUCAUUCUCUUUAUGACCCAGCUUACCACCUGCCACUAGUAAUCUGAUGUAUUUUCAAAGAGGUAUCCCUCCCAAAGCUGCAGAAAUGUCCAAGAGCUUCUUAGCUUUUGGAGACAAGUACUGACUCUCAAGGAGUCAAAAGGAGUAAAUCACAUGUCUCAUGUGAGCCCUCGUUCCCCCUGCUGGCAGUGUGUCUGGCUGAGGGUGCAAACUGUGCCUCUGCUUGUCCCUUCAUGUCCCCCAAACACCUCAUCCUCUUGCUCCCGAAGUCACCUUCUUCCAUUUCUCAGCUUUUCCCAAUCCACCUACUUUGUUGUUUCUGGCUGACAAAUGGCUCUUAGCGGAAGAAAAUGCUUUGUUCACAUUCAUCCAAAGCAGUUUAAAAUCUGCGUUCAGUUAAAACUUUGUCAUUGUGAAGUCCACGUUUUUGAUCUGUUCCUUGUUGACAGGACAUUUGUCUUUAGGGUCUUCUCUUCGCACAUCUGUGUGUGUGUUGCAUGUUUUUCAGAGAAUGCAUGUAAUGCUGGGAUGGGUUUUCUUAUUAUUUGAUAUAUAUAUAUGUGUGUGUGUGUAUAUUUGCUAAAACUUAGAGUUCUGACCAUAAAUGAAGAAAAUGCCCACAAGCACUUUCAUGCAUAAUUUCCAGUGUUUAUUCCAACUCAUACAAAAUAAUACUAGAGACAAUAUUUAUCUAUUAGAAAACAAAUAGUUAACAUUUGUAUUUGGAGAGGAGGUUGUUAUUCUGUGAUGGAAAUAAAAGAUUGGCGAUGAGGACUUGUAGGCUGACUUUUCUGUGAUGUAGUGUUGGCUCCCUAUGAUUUUUUUUGUCUUAUUUUACUAUGCUAGUAACUGAACGUUGUGAUGUUAACCUACAGAUGUUAACCAGGUGAAAGCUCAAAUGCCUCAAAGCUUAUAAGUGCUCAAAUGGUGGCUGAGGAAAGGCUGAGCAGGACAAGGAGUAGCAUCUAGCUCUUUCCCAGGACACAUACUGAUGGUGUCCUUAGUUUGUUACCAUGCUGUCACCCAAAUGGUUGAAUUUUCAAGUAGCAGCUCUGAUCUGGGAAAGGUGCUGUUGGUUACAGGGUUGUUUGUCCUCUCCCAGCUCCCUUUGUGCUUUUUUUCCUCUUCCGUACCUCAUUGGCUGAAGGACCACAACAACUCCUAAAUGCUAUUCAGCUACUUAACGCACACUUCUGUAGAAACUCAAGCCUACUAUGAUGGGUCAGUCAUCCAAGGUUGUGUCUUGGAGGAGUAAAAAGGCACAGGACACAUGCAAUGGUCAGCUAACUCACCUGGCUACCAUCCCUAUGGAUUUCUUCCUACAGAUCUCUGUUUGAAGGUUAAAAAACUUGGCUCAGGUCUGUCCCAAUAGUUGUGAUGUGCUGUCUUCAGGCAGCACGGAUGCUUGGACUUCUGCAGCAUAAAAAGACCAAGUAACCAACAGGCACUUUUCCUUGCCUGGCUGCCACUUCAGCUCCUUGCUUUUCAUCCUGCUAGAACUUGUUUACUGUUGGUGUGCAGUGUAUAAAGCUCCUCUCUUUAUUUGGUCCUUUGGGGAGGGGUGAGUAUCGUAUGAGGGCGUAUGAGUAUCUAUCCCUCCUGUCUUUAUUUUGGGUGAAGUCCAAAACUGGAAGGCACCUGUCUUCUGGCUCUGGAGGGGCAGCAAUCCAAGCUGGUGGAAAUGUCACGAACAGCUGAUCUUGAAGCAAGGGCUGUCAAAACACUUGUGUUUUACAGCCCUAAUCCCAUUUUAGCACCAAACAAAUAAUAAUGUUCUGGCAUAGUGACCUGCAGAAAACCUCCUGUUUUCUUUCUGUUGCUUGCUUUUGAAAUCUUGUUGAAACCUUAUCAAACAUCGCUGCUUUCAGAGUCCAGAUUUAUAUUCUUGUACAGUCAUGAAGUCAAGUCUUCGCUCUGAAUGUGCCCUAUGCCAACAUCUAGGUCUGAUAGCCUCCUAAGGCUACCUGUAAUGAGUAAAAAUGGUAGGAGGUGGGAUGUGAAAAAGAUAAAAGCUUGUACCAAAAUAAUCUCUAACUGAAGAACAUUAUGAAAGAAUUUAAAUACAAAACUUAUAAGGAUACAUGAACAUUUUGAGUCUUCUAGAAGCCUUGAUCAGCCAGCUAUAGAAACACAGAUGGUUUCAAUGUUGUCCCCGGCCCUAAAUAAUUUCAACACAACUUUGCCCUGUAUUAGAACCUGUGUGCUCUCUCAUGCUAAAUGUUUCAUGAGUUCUUGUAUAUGGCCUCAUGGAAAAAUAGAGGAGAUUCAGUGAUGGUGGAAGCUUUUUCCUAAAAAUGUCUCUAUCCUGACUGAUUUUUAUAAGCAGUCUCUUUGGAUGCUGGGGUGGUGGGAUCUCUCUGGUAACAAAACAAGUUCCUUCUAGCUUUUAAUCAGGUUUUAAGCUGAAGGUUUGGCUAAAUUUAUGUGGCAGAGUAUUUUAUUGAUAGAAGAGCUUGCCAGACCUCUUUGGCAGUGCUCUCUUUUCACUUAAAGACCUUGGUGUAAAUCUUUUUAAUGGUUCAGCUACAAAAAAUUUCAAAGAAUCUUUCCCCGCUUCUUUCCAUUGCACUAUCAUCUGUGUAAAUCAUCUUGCUUACUCAUUCUCUUAGCUACUUUAGAUUGUUAGUCUUAAUGACAGUACUGCAGUAAAAGUGGGGAAAAAAGUAUUUUAAACUGUCAUUAGUCCAUAAAACUUUGAUCAUUUAUAGUAAGUGGGAAUUCAUCGUGGACUUUUAAGAGAAGGGAGAGGUCAGUCAUACCAUCCCUACUUAGUUGUGCACCUAUAUGAUAAAGCACACCUCAGGGGAAAAAUAGAAGGUGGAAAUGUAAGGAUUAAAUGUGAUAGAACUUUGAUGUAGCUACUCUUUGAGUUAUAAAAUAUGAUGUAAUAAGUACCUGGACUCUUCUUUGAACUUUUCUUGUGUUUUACUCUAAAAUAUGCAACGCUAAGAGUUAUUUUAGUGGUGCAAAGUUUGAUUGCAGUAAAUCAUCUGACAGUUAUCACUACCAUCGUUCAGCAGUUUUUGAAAUGUGAAUUCCAUGCUAAUUGUACUGAAAAGGUACUUUUUGUUGUAUAUAGUGUUGUAUAUAUACAUUAUAUGAUAUACAUUAUAAUGCUUUUAUUCAUUUUCAUUACCUGUAACAACGUGCAGGAAAUUCUUCCAGGGUAAAUGUGGGCCCAGUGCAGAGAAAUCUAACGAUAUCACUAGCAUUUUUCUGGUUAAAUCUUCAACAAAACUUUUAGUGAAUCAGGAGGUCUUCUUCGGGACCUAAUGCUGUAUUAAUAUGAACUUCAACCACAGACCCUGUUUGCCAAGCUUCAUUAAUAUUGAUACACUGGAAAACAUUGACAGAUCUUAAAUACUCUAAAAACAGACUUUUGCCAUGGUCUGUUGGUUGGUUGUUGGUGUUUGUUUCUCUUUAAGAUAUAUUGUUUGGCAGAUCGAUUCAGUCAUCUGAAAUGUCAAUAUAUUGAAAUAUAAUUUCUUAAUGUCUGAAUAUUCAGAACGUAGAACUUGGAACUUAAAGGUGAAUCUUUGAUUACCUGACAAAAUGAUUGCUUAAGUUUCCAGGUGUCAUCCAGAACAAUUCCAUUCAAAAACAUUAUGGAAUUCAAAGCACUGGAUAAGUACUUAGGAACAUACCUCGUAAAACAGAGAUAGAUAUGCUGUCCUCAUUAAUAAAAAUAAGUUUUAUGUGAGUAAGUAUUGGAGUAGCAGUAUGUGUGGUUUACAUAUGUGUAAUACAUAGACAUCUGAAGAUUCCUUCCUGCUAUCCAGGUAAAUGACAUCUUAAUUCAUUCAGAGUCUUCCCCCAUCCUCACUGUUCAUAAACUUCCACGAAUCUCAUUUAGGCUUUUUUUUUGUUGUGCUUAAUUUCAAUAUAAACAGGUAAUUGCAGUAAUAAUUUGAUGAAAAUCUGACCAUUCCUUUGAAAUAAGUGGAAUAUGAAAAAUACACUGUAUUAAGCUUGCUAUGUAGAAUAGUCUGAUUUUUGGCUGAUUUUGGACUAUUCUCACACCUUGCUUAAUUGUUGGUGUGUUUGCAUACUACUUUUUUAUGUGAACUUAUGGUUUGCUGUACUGCUUGCAUAAAAAUCAACUGACUUUAGCAGGGGUAACCAUCUAGUCAAACAGAGCAGAAUAACACAUGGAUUACCUUGCUGAAAAGUGUACGUCUUUUGGCGUGAAUGCAAAAAUUGUUUUAAGCAGAAUCCACGUGGUAUGUACUAUGCUGUAGAAGUUUGCCAUUUUUCUCUUUCUGUAGUAAUUUAUAUAAACACAGGUUGCAUAAAAAGAGGUAAACACUGGGCAAAUAUCUUUAUUGAAUUUCAACCUGGAUUAUGAAUAAUGAUUUUUGAAGUCUUCAAACCCAGAAAACAAUAUAUGCAUUUCAAAAGGCUCUACUCCUAGCUGGCUUUAUUUAGCAUUCUUGUGAAUAGUUUUUUAUUAUUGAUUGUUGUUGUUUUUUCCUACAAGGUUUACUAGAUGUACUGGAGUUGUCCUUUGUACAAUUUCAUUUUCUUUUAUUGGUUCCCUUAGGACAUCGUUAUCCUUUAAAUAAGAAUAGAAAACUGUGUUCUCCUUCUCCUGUUUGGUUUUCUCCCAUACUCUUUAUUUCCAUUUGAGCAACAAGGUUGGUCAGGGAAUUCAGAAUUAAGACUCCAUUUCACAUCCUCUUCCUUACCUAUCUGUGUUGCAGCUAAUACUGUCCUCAGGGUAUUUAAUACAGUGAGUCAAGAAUGCAUCCUGACAAAACAGUAGGGCCGUGUGUAGGGAGAUACAAUGCGUAAGGUAGUACUCUUUGAAAAUAUUCUUAAAAUUAAAAGAGCUGGUACAAAAACAUUUGUGGACAAAAUGACUCUGUGAGUAGGAAGUAUGUCAAAAUUAGAAUAUGAUAUCCGUAAGGUAGUAGAGAAGUCUUCUGAAGUUUAUUCUUCUUGUGUUUCUUGUUCUCUUUUUUCUCUGCCCCAUCUCUUUCUAUAGUCUGACUCCCACUUUUCACUUAUUAAGAAAACUACUUUAAAAUGAAGUUAUAAUCCGGUGGUGCAAGCAAUUUCUCUUCAGUUGUGGCACAGAGAACAAAAGAGUUUUAUCUCAGCUUGUUUAUCCCAGAAGGAUGGAUGGUUUCUGCUAUGGUUUCAGGAGAAAGAGAUACUUAAGUUGCACGUUUUCUACUGACUGUAAGAUUUCAAGGAUUUUAAAGAAAGAAAGAAAAUGGGAGCCAAAUGAGAGCAUAAAUAUCUUUAAACUAAAAAGCUAAAGAGUUUUUCAUCCUUGUUUUAUUUGUUCUCUAAAGCUUUGCUGGAAAGGGGGAAGGGGUGUCCAAAUUUCAGCUGGAGUAGGAAUGAAAGAGAGAAGUGACAAGUCUUUCCAAAAAAAAAAAA
Molecule: non-coding RNA, 9275 nt
Organism: Anas platyrhynchos (mallard)
Lineage: Eukaryota; Metazoa; Chordata; Aves; Anseriformes; Anatidae
Source: RefSeq, a predicted model, not a curated record